RNAcentral lists this transfer RNA (65 nucleotides) under Mytilus coruscus. RNAcentral describes it as "tRNA-Asn". It matches the Rfam family "tRNA". Rfam says of the family: Transfer RNA (tRNA) molecules are approximately 80 nucleotides in length. The record is from RNAcentral. Lineage: Eukaryota; Metazoa; Mollusca; Bivalvia; Mytilida; Mytilidae.
GGUCAAAUAGUUUAAAUUAAAACGUUGAGCUGUUAAUUCAAAAUUGCAGUAAUUAGCUUUGGCUU